Molecule: RNA transcript, 3139 nt
Organism: Penaeus monodon (black tiger shrimp)
Lineage: Eukaryota; Metazoa; Arthropoda; Malacostraca; Decapoda; Penaeidae
Exons: 20
Source: RefSeq, a predicted model, not a curated record
GACUUUUGAGGGCAGAGGCAGGCGACGUUUAGUCUCACGGGGCUGGCUCGCGGCGCGGACCGCUACCCAAAUGCCUCGUCGGGUACGACUUAUUGUGUGGUAAAAAGGCUGGAACAUCGAUAACGGACUGGAUUUUCCUAGUGGUGACGAAGACCCUUUGCUGCCAGGAAGGCGGAGGAAGAGGGGAAAAAAAAAUGCAGCAGAUCUUUCAAGAGAUGGUGGUAGGAAGUCUUGUCGGCAAUCCAUGGCAGUGGAGAGACCAAAGAUGGCUAUGAAUAAGUUUUCUAUUUUUACAGUUUUAGAUGUGGAAAGGAUUAUCAUGACUUCUAGACUACAAAGGGACUCUGAGCAGAAAAACAAUUUGAAGAAGUCGGAAGUUUUUCUAUUUGCAGAUUUUCAGAAGAGCUGUCAAGCUCAACUGUGAAAGCGGUACAUUGGCAGGGCUGGAGGAGCAGGCUAGGUCAUUUCCACAAGCUUGAAGUUGCACCUGGGACUGAAUAAGAGCUAGAUGGCCUUCACAAUUUUUAAUGCUGCUUGGGAAAGGAUGCAGUAGGGGGAAUUAAGAGGAGAAAUGGAAGAAUAAAAAACAAAAGCUUGGGGUCAUCUACUUGAUUUCUCACUCUUGGAAUUAGGAUUGUGUGCAGAGGCAAGGUGAAUGAUUUUAUAAACUAGUAUUAUAAUUUCGGUAGUGUUUGGAGCAUGAAAUAGUUGUUCAACUACAGCCCAAGACUCCUAGAUGUCCUGACAUGCUUCUCAGACUUUCAGAUCAGUUGAGUCCAGGUUCACAUGUAUGGACAUAGGAGUAGUACUUCUGAAUUUGAUGCAGUGAGGGAUAAGGACGAGAAAAGAACUAGAGAUCCAAUGUAGGAAAGCCAAGAAAGGACCUCCAUUGGAAGGAGAGAAGUAGAUGGUGAUGAGGUUGAUACAGACUGCAGUGGUUGAGGGUAUUGUUAGUGCAGGGAAAAUAAAUAAUCCGUAAGGCUGUUAUCAGAUUCCUUGUCAUAAGAGGAAGGAGGACAGUUGAGUGUUGCAAAGAUACCAGCCCAUCUGAAUUGUGACAGAUGCAUGGACAGCCACAUGAAAUGAAAUAAUGGAUCACAGGCGGAGAAAACUGGAGGAGCAAAAGAGGAAUGUGGGCAAUCCAUGGAGGGGAGGCCACACUGCAGGCACAGAGGAGAGGCUGGAUGGCAUACCUAUUUUUAAACAGGAAAAUUUAAAUAUUCAUAUUAUUUUUGGUGCCUUUGACUGUUAGACAGAUUGCAGCAUCCCAGUUAAUUUUUCACAUUCUUAUGAUCCAUACAUUCAUUACAAGAAGCAAAAAGAAUAACUGUUAUAAAAGUGACAGAUUGUUUUGUUGUUGAUACUAUAAGCUGUGAAGAAUAGUUCCAGGGAAAGAAUUAUCUGUUAUGGUAAAGAUGCAAGAGAAAAUUGUUCCAAGAAACUUGAUAGGUGGUGAGAAUCUGAAAUAAAAAUCUAAUGAAAUGUAUGCGUUAAUUCAUAUAAUAGAGCAAACCUCCUAAAAGCAUUCAGAGGAGGAGGUAUUGUUUGAAUAGAGCAUCACCUUUCCAAGUAAAUGUUCAGUGAACUUAAAAUAUUCCUCAGACAAGGAGCCUAACCUCUUUGAGGCCAAACAGCCAUUGGAGACAAUGAGAACCUUUGUUUCCAUUAUGUUAUUUCAUUUGCAAGUAUGCCAAAGAGAAUGACUAAGUUCAGUAAAUCUAGAAAAUAUAUUUCACACUGCAAGAAGGCAUGAUAUUUGAUUUCAGCAUAUAGAUUCUAAGACAAGGCAAUAGACAAUUAAGAGGAAUGUGUAAAGGCAAUGGAGAAAUUGAAAAUUAGUAGUGGAAGUACAAUAAAAAUGAUUUUAGAUAUUCAGUAGAAUCAAACUAUGAAAUACAGAAAUCUGAUUUUUUUAUGGAAAUCCAUGUACAAGUAGAAUGAAUUAUUGGAAGAGCCAAUCUAGAAUUGUCAAAUAUAGUUCAAACAAAAUUUCAUGGUCUAAUCUGUAAAUAAUAAUAUAAAGUUUAACUUUUUAAAAUGUUUUCAGUACUACAGAUUGCAAGCUUCAUUUCUUAGUAGGUCAAUAUUUGGCAAACUGUUUUUCAUGUUUAUAAAUGUGUUGACUUUUUUUUCUAUUUUAGAAUAUGAAUAUGAUAAUCAAUUUCCAGGUCUGAUUUGGUAUGCACAGGAGGCCCUCUAUUAUUUUAACAAAUACUAAAAAAAACUUAGACAUGAAAUUCUCAUAGGUGAUGAUCAUGGCAAGUUGAGCUAUUGAAGUUUUGAAUGCUGAUGUUACAUUGAUACUAAAAUGAUACGUAUUUUUAAACCCCUUGCAUAUUUUCAAUAUUUGAAGCAAAUAGGCCAUCAGUCUAUUGAGGACAUGUGUAGUCAUUUACCCUGAGUGCCAAGGCUGUGCUGUGUAAGCAUGUUUAUUUCAGGAAAGUGGGAAGAUGGUAAAACUUCAUUAACCCAAUGCUGCUAGAUGCUGCGAGGAAUGAAGCCAAGGAAAGAACAAGUUCCAGUUCUGGAAAUGCAAGAAAGAACCUCUAGUGAAAGGAGAUUGAAGCAGUUGCAAUCAGAAUUAUAAUAUCAGAAUUAGUAAAGGUGUAGUCACUACAUAGGAUUAUCUUGACUUCCAACAACUCUCAAGUGCUUUUAUUAUUGAAAGAAGGCUGGAACAUCGAUAACGGACUGGAUUUUCCUAGUGGUGACGAAGACCCUUUGCUGCCAGGAAGGCGGAGGAAGAGGAGGAAGAGGAAAAAAAAAAUGCAGCAGAUCUUUCAAGAGAUGGUGGUAGGAAGUCUUGUCGGCAACCCAUGGCAGUGGAGAGACCAAAGAUGGCUAUGAAUAAGUUUUCUAUUUUUACAGUUUUAGAUGUGGAAAGGAUUAUCAUGACUUCUAGACUACAAAGGGACUCUGAGCAGAAAAACAAUUUGAAGAAGUCGGAAGUUUUUCUAUUUGCAGAUUUUCAGAAGAGCUGUCAAGCUCAACUGUGAAAGCGGUACAUUGGCAGGGCUGGAGGAGCAGGCUAGGUCAUUUCCACAAGCUUGAAGUUGCACCUGGGACUGAAUAAGAGCUAGAUGGCCUUCACAAUUUUUAAUGCUGCUUGGAAAGGAUGCAGUAGGGGGAAUUAAGAGGA